RNAcentral lists this long non-coding RNA (1352 nucleotides) under Cyanistes caeruleus (blue tit). RNAcentral's name for it is "lncRNA (ENSCCEG00000021890.1)". Lineage: Eukaryota; Metazoa; Chordata; Aves; Passeriformes; Paridae. The record is from RNAcentral.
GAGCCACCAGCCUUCCAGAGAUCCCUUGUUCCUCGCCGUUGCCUCCUGUGGAAUUUUAUCAACCAUUUCCCUGCAUUUGUUGCACUUCCUCAAUCCCCAUUUCAUUUAUUUCACUUUCCUUUUGUGAGGAUCACUGUCCAGGGGCCUUCUCAGCGGUUCCAGCCCCUCUCCCUGCUCUAUUCCCAGGGGUUUUUUUGGGGUGCCCAUCGUUCCUGGGUGUUUUUCCCAGCGUGGGGGUUGAGCUGUUCCCCAGCUCUGCUCCUUUCACCCCGCUGUGCUCCCCUGGGGCUGUGCAGCUGUGGAAAUCCCCCGUGCCCUUCCUUUGGAGGCAUCCCUGAGCUGCCCACCUUCCCAACCCCGCUUUUCCAGGUGUUUACGGGUCAACCCCAAGGGCCUGGACGAGGAGAGCAAGGAUUACCUGUCGCUGUACCUGCUGCUGGUCAGCUGCCCCAAGAGCGAGGUCAGGGCCAAGUUCAAGUUCUCCAUCCUCAACGCCAAGGGAGAGGAGACCAAGGCCAUGGAGAGCCAGCGCGCCUAUCGCUUCGUGCAAGGCAAGGACUGGGGCUUCAAGAAGUUCAUCAGGAGAGAUUUCCUGCUGGACGAGGCCAACGGGCUGCUGCCAGACGACAAACUGACCCUGUUCUGCGAGGUGAGCCCUGCUCCAGCCCCAAACAGCCUCCCUGGGCUGGCCCUUCCCUCCUCCCGCUGCUCCGGGGGUGCCUCUCCCCCUGCCUGAUCCAUCCCUCCCUGCCUGCUUCCUGCUGGGCUUUUCCCUGCAGUGCUGAUGGCAACUGGGCAGCUUUGGGGAUCAUUUCCUGCUGUUUCCGUGUUCCCUCUGUUUGUGCUGCUUGGUUUGGGGCUCUCUUGGGAUGAUCCCAGCCCGGAUCUGCUCUGGGAAGCACCCUGCUUGAUAAAGGAGAGCUUCUCUUUAUUUCCUUCAGUGGCUCUGCACAGCCAGCAAAGAGAAAAAUGUGAGAAAGGGGAUUUUAGUGUAACCACCAUCCUCUGCUCGCUGUGUUUGUGUUUUCCUACAACAUCAUUAUAAUUUCACUUGUGCUAUUCCAGGCCAAGAUGCAGCCAGUUAUUUCCAAACCCAGAGAUUUAAGUUGAAAAACCUUAAUGAGCAAAUAGAAACUCUAAUUUAGUGUCUUCAGAGCUUCUCCUGCCUCACUCCCAUUGUCUUUUUAACUGCAAAGCCCUCCUGGAGCUGAUUUUUUUUUUGCCAGAAGAGAGCAGAACAAGUUGUUCUCUCCUUGCAUCUCCUGCACUGUUUUUUUUUUUUUCCUGGGAGUCUUUUUCUUUUGCUGUGUUUUCUUCCAGGAAUAAAAGAAGUGCUUCAAAGUGCUUUGACA